GUCACUCCGAAAUUAAUCUAUUUCCCAGGAGGGACACGUGUAUGCUUCUAAGUGCAGCAAGAGCCAUAUUUGAUAAGGCAGUUGUUCUUUACAGACCCAGGCAUUGUUAUCAGAGGUAGGAGGUACGUACGUACACCAUGCAGAAAAGUAUUCUGAAAGGGAUGGUGACAACAAAAUACUACCUAGCACUAGGUGCUAUGGUCGGGAUCUUGGCAUGGAUGGCCUUGAAGAGAUUGCUAGCUGAAACCCAGGGGCCGAUAAAGGAAGAGACUGUUGUAGACCAUAAGAGCCAAAGCAUGGUGUGAUGAUAUAUCACAUGCCCUUAACUCUAACUUAAAUAAGGUUAUUUGUGUAAUUAUUAUUACGUCACGAAUCACACACUA
This is a long non-coding RNA of Halichondria panicea, 383 nucleotides long. RefSeq lists it as uncharacterized. The transcript has 3 exons. The record is from RefSeq and is a predicted model, not a curated record. NCBI's taxonomy places the organism in Eukaryota, Metazoa, Porifera, Demospongiae, Suberitida, Halichondriidae.